RNAcentral lists this ribosomal RNA (796 nucleotides) under Sphingobium sp. RNAcentral's name for it is "bacterial SSU rRNA". It matches the Rfam family "Bacterial small subunit ribosomal RNA", at positions 40 to 879 of the family's 1533-position model. The record is from RNAcentral. Lineage: Bacteria; Pseudomonadati; Pseudomonadota; Alphaproteobacteria; Sphingomonadales; Sphingobiaceae.
CGGGCAUGCCUAAUACAUGCCAAGUCGAACGAUCCUUUCGGGGAUAGUGGCGCACGGGUGCGUAACGCGUGGGAAUCUGCCCUUGGGUUCGGAAUAACUUCGGGAAACUGAAGCUAAUACCGGAUGAUGACGAAAGUCCAAAGAUUUAUCGCCCAGGGAUGAGCCCGCGUAGGAUUAGCUAGUUGGUGGGGUAAAGGCCUACCAAGGCGACGAUCCUUAGCUGGUCUGAGAGGAUGAUCAGCCACACUGGGACUGAGACACGGCCCAGACUCCUACGGGAGGCAGCAGUAGGGAAUAUUGGACAAUGGGCGAAAGCCUGAUCCAGCAAUGCCGCGUGAGUGAUGAAGGCCUUAGGGUUGUAAAGCUCUUUUACCCGAGAUGAUAAUGACAGUAUCGGGAGAAUAAGCUCCGGCUAACUCCGUGCCAGCAGCCGCGGUAAUACGGAGGGAGCUAGCGUUGUUCGGAAUUACUGGGCGUAAAGCGCACGUAGGCGGCGAUUUAAGUCAGAGGUGAAAGCCCGGGGCUCAACCCCGGAACUGCCUUUGAGACUGGAUUGCUAGAAUCUUGGAGAGGCGAGUGGAAUUCCGAGUGUAGAGGUGAAAUUCGUAGAUAUUCGGAAGAACACCAGUGGCGAAGGCGGCUCGCUGGACAAGUAUUGACGCUGAGGUGCGAAAGCGUGGGGAGCAAACCAGGAUUAGAUACCCUGGUAGUCCACGCCGUAAACGAUGAUAACUAGCUGCUGGGGCACAUGGUGUUUCGGUGGCGCAGCUAACGCAUUAAGUUAUCCGCCUGGGAG